UUCCCAAUGCGCAAGCAGAUCAAGUUAUUAUAAAUGUUGCUAACUUUGCAGUGGCAGCGUUCAACCAAAAAUAUGGAAAUAAGCUUGUGUUUCAUGCAGUUUUGGAAGCUUGGGUUGUUGUUCUUCCUGAUGGCAAAAAAGAGUAUAGUAUUGAAUUAGUAGCAAAAGACUGUUUGAAUCGUUGCCUCUACUUUCAUGCUAUUGUGAUUGAAAUAGUUGGCGUUCCCCCUGGCUGGAAUCUUUUUUCUUUCACCCAAAUCAGCGACUAAAUUAAAAGAAAAGUUAUAUGUAUAAUCGAAGUUCAUACUUAUGUGUGAGAAGUACACAAUAAUAAAUCUUAUAUGAUAUUGUACUGCUCUACUUUCUUUAACUAUCUGUUAUAGAAUAAUAAUGGAGGCCAAACGAUGUUUUUAGUCCCAAACCCUUUAUUUUGUGUUUUAGUUUUCAUUUUGGUUUGUUGCAUGGGACUCUCUUAAGUUUUUGAGUUAAUGUUUUGCAGCUUUGUGUUUGAGUUUUGAGUUUAAUUUUGUAUUUGGUUCUUGAUCGUGUU
Molecule: long non-coding RNA, 550 nt
Filed under: Cucumis sativus (cucumber)
Lineage: Eukaryota; Viridiplantae; Streptophyta; Magnoliopsida; Cucurbitales; Cucurbitaceae
Description: long non-coding RNA (CSAT_LNC002659)
Source: RNAcentral